ACAAAACAAUUGACUGCCGAACGUCUGUCGACCGUAACCGGAAUGUAGAAUUCGUGUAAGCUGAUAAAAUUUAAGUUUCAACAAAUUUCAAAACCAAAAAUUUUUAUUUAGAAAAAAGUUAUCUCUUAUUCUAUGAUUUCUCUCUGCAAUUUUCCAACUGAUUGUUGAGGCUUUCCCUACGUUUUGUAAUGAGCAUAAUUGCCUCUUUACAUUUACGAUUCAUUUAUUGGACAUUUACGGUACAUUUACGAGACCAUAACCAGGCCUUAAGGCCUUUAGUCUUUUUAUUAGCUAUGUUCGGGAACUCAAAAAUUUUUGCAAAUUUGCACAAAUUUUUACUGGAAGUCGUUCGCGUACUUUAUUUGCCAGCAGAAGAGAGCGCGAGAGAGAGCAAAUUUUGACAGUUCGAAAAUAGAGAACCUGCAAAUUUCUACUGGGACUUUUUUGCCAGCAGAAAUUUGCAACUUUGAACAGAUGUUUUGUAAAGGUCAGCUGUUUUAUGAAAAGCAGCCGUUACAUGAAAAUACAAAAGCUAAUAUCAAAAUAGAUCAAAAAGGCAGAGAUUCAAGGCAGCAGCUAAUUAUCAGGUACAGAAAAUUCACCAAAUGAAGUUGUAAUUUUACAUCAAGUGGGCUGUUCUACAUUAGAAGACACUAUGAAAAGAGCAAUGAUCGGUUUCUUGAGUUUUUCAAUGGAAUUAUCCUCAUCAGUGCGCCACAAUGAAACCAUCACCGUUCCUUUGAAUUUGUUAAAGAGCUGGUAUUUAGUGGGUCUGGUUGGGCAGUUAAAAGUUACGCACAGUGGGAUUCGAAAAAGUUAAUGCAAAUUAGUCUACCAAUUGUGAACGGAUACAGUUAUCUUCAAUGAUAACACAGUGGUCGAAGCCGUCAAUAGAAAGCUCCCUUAGCCUCACAUCAGUGGUCGCAGCAAUUUGUCUAGCCACAAUAUCGAGAAGCAUUAGGUGGUUAGUACAACGUUCCUUUGUCAGCACAACAUCUUCCAAACAUCGGGUACUAUAAUAGUGCUCAGACAGGCUUACGACAGUUGUAAGGUACUUGCCUCCAGGCAGAUCCAGAUUCUUCAGAAUCAGUAUUGAGAUUCUGUCUGGGGCCACGGAUGACAUUCGUAGCUUCGUGCACGAUAAAUUGCGAUGGCUAUGCAGCGGCACGGAGAUCACGGAUACGACGAAUGGCUCCCCUUCUAGCCUUGUCACUCUCGGGUCAAUUGACGUUUAUCUAAGGAAAAUACAUCACAACUAUCGCCAGCAUUUUUUAUUUUAAAAAAUUGUCUUCCUAAGCAAGCAAAUAAAAAAACCAAUCAAAACAAAAAGCAGUUGUUGUUCUGCAAAUUUUCACUGAAA
Molecule: long non-coding RNA, 1360 nt
Organism: Stomoxys calcitrans (stable fly)
Lineage: Eukaryota; Metazoa; Arthropoda; Insecta; Diptera; Muscidae
Exons: 3
Source: RefSeq, a predicted model, not a curated record